This is a ribosomal RNA of Loxodonta africana (African savanna elephant), 118 nucleotides long. Lineage: Eukaryota; Metazoa; Chordata; Mammalia; Proboscidea; Elephantidae. The record is from Ensembl.
GUCCAUAGCCAUUCCACCCAGAUCAUGCCUGUCUCGUCUGAUCUCAAAAGGUAAGCAGGGUCAGCCCUGGUUAGUAUUUGAAUGGAAGGCUGCCUGGGAAUACUGAGUGCUGAAGGCU